GGAGCAACAAAGAUGUACUGUAUUGGCACUCUGGCAGUAAUUAGUGUUUGGAUGUGGUGUGUGUAGGGAAGAAUGAGAUUAAAAUGAUUGGCUAUUUCAAUUUCGAUGUUGUGUUGGUAUUAUUUAUGUGCGACGGUCAUUUCAUAUGUUAAAUGCAAUCAGGAGAGUGGAAUGUGUAAAUAUUUGGGCAUUGUGUGGGCGCUGAUGACCGCGCAGUUGAGCGACUGACAAUCCAAUCAUCAUCAAACAGUUUUGACGGGCGCUUGGGGUGCGACGGAAGUGAAUAUUACGAUUGAAAACACUUUUAAAAAAUGUGUGGUAUAUAUUUCGCUGUUUACAGAGGCAACGACGUGUAUCAAUGCCAGCGGUCCAAUUGUGACCAUAAUCAAUGUGAUGGAUCCAUAUAUGAGGUUCAUGUGAAAGACCAGUUGGAAUCCAGAGGCCCUGACACAACUUCGGUAGUCCAGAAUUAUGACAUGGAUGGCUGGGCUGUAUUCAGUGCAGCAAGUGUAUUGUGGAUGCAAGGGAAGCACCCCACACCUCAACCAUUGGUUGACAGUGCUGGUAAUAUUCUGCUGUGGAAUGGGGAUAUCUUCUAUGGAUCAUUGGCACCUGAUGAUUCAACUUCAGAUACUUUAAGUGUUGUCGAAAACUUGAGCAAGUGCCACAACAAUGAAAUGAUCAUUCAAACAAUAAGCAAGUUCAGAGGUCCAUUUUCAUUUGUGUAUCUGAAUCCUACAACUAGACAACUCUGGUUCGGCAGAGAUGUUCUGGGCCGUCACAGCUUACUUUCACACAGCAGUAACAACUCGCUUGUGAUAACAUCAGUAUCAACAAGAGAACUGGAUUGUCAAGAGGUUCCAGCAGUUGGUGUUUUCCUGGCGGAGAUGACUGACAAAGGCAGCAUAUCAAUCAAACUUUAUCCAUGGUCUGGAAUUUCUGAGACUAGACUGUCUGCUGCAGUGGAUCUCUAUCACGUGGACUUAAAUAUUGAUCAGUGUUUCAUAGAAUCACCGCUGUCAGGUUGUUAUAUGAAUACAGACUGCAUCCCAUCUUCAGUAAUUGAAUCUUACUGGCUGAAGUAUAACAGUGAGAACAUACCUGAUUUCUUCACAACACUACUCAUGGAUGAAUCAGUCUGCAAGAAUGUCGACAGGCUUCUAAACUUAUUGAACUUUUCUGUGAAAGUGCGCUGUGGUAAACAGUGUGAGCUGUGUAAAAACUGUGUAAAGCAGUUCAGCAGUAAAAAACGCUGUAAACACUCAAAAGUUGGGAUACUCUUCUCUGGAGGUCUAGAUUCAAGUGUUAUAGCAGCCCUUGCAAGUGAAUGUAUUCCAAAAGACGAACCUAUUGAUUUAAUAAAUGUGGCUUUUGAACCGAAGAAGAGAAUUUGUAGAGGAAACAAAAAAGCAGCUGUGAAUCGUGCAGAUUAUAAUGUUCCUGACAGAAAGACGGGAGUUCAAUCGUACAGACAACUCCAAUCUCUCUAUCCAGAAAGAAAAUGGAAUUUUAUUCAGGUGGAUGUGACACGAGAGGAGUUGAAGAACAGAUGUCUCCAAAGAAUUUCUGAUCUCAUACAUCCUCUUAAAACUGUUUUAGAUGAGUCACUGGGCUGUGCUCUGUGGUUUGCCAGUAGAGGACAGGGAAGUCUGCUUGAUUGUGACCAAAAUAUGCUCUGUUCAUCACCAUCCAGAAUCCUUCUAGUUGGCAUGGGUGCAGAUGAACAACUGGGUGGUUAUCGUCGACACAGAUCCGCACUCCGGACUGGUGGAUGGCCAGCAUUGCAAGAGAUGUUGAAGUCGGAUUUAGACAAUAUUUCGUCUCGGAAUCUUGGAAGAGAUGAUCGGGUUGUUGCUGAUCAUGGCUGUCAAGCUCGCUUCCCUUUUCUGGAUGAGGCUGUUGUUAGUUUCCUCACAUCACUCCACCCGUGGGAAAAAUUGAUGAAGAUGACCGAGAUGGGAUGGUUUACUACCAGCAAGAUGGUGCAUCACGUCGUUUUCUCAUGGAAGUUUGAGGUUUCCUCGAUAAUUGCUUCCCAGUUUAGCUGGCCUGAAAAAUCAAAUCUACAGUGCCAUUGCACAAGUUACACCCGAUUUGCUGCUUCGAGUCUGGGAAGGAAUUGACUACCGGUGGGAUGUUUGUCGCAUCACAAAUGGUAAUCACAUUGGAUCAAAGUGACACGUGACACAUCUACUGAUUCUGUGCUUUCCUGUGGAGAACUGCCCUCCAGGAGUUGGUGACAAGCUCCUAUUAAGACUGGCAGCCUGCAAGCUUGGCCUCCAUGAAAUAGCAAGACUACCUAAGAGAGCUAUGCAGUUUGGGUCAAAAAUUGCAGAUA
RNAcentral lists this unclassified non-coding RNA (2338 nucleotides) under Schistocerca americana (American grasshopper). Its description in RNAcentral is "asparagine synthetase domain-containing protein 1, transcript variant X3". Lineage: Eukaryota; Metazoa; Arthropoda; Insecta; Orthoptera; Acrididae. The record is from RNAcentral.